GAUGAACGCUGGCGGCGUGCCUAAUACAUGCAAGUCGAGCGGUAAGGCCUCUUCGGAGGUACACGAGCGGCGGACGGCUGAGUAACACGUAGGAACGUACCCCAAACUGAGGGAUAAGCACCAGAAAUGGUGUCUAAUACCGCAUGUGCUCUAAGGAGUAAAGCUUCGGCGGUUUGGGAGCGGCCUGCGUCUGAUUAGCUAGAUGGUGAGGUAAUGGCUCACCAUGGCGACGAUCAGUAGCUGGUCUGAGAGGAUGAUCAGCCAGACUGGGACUGAGACACGGCCCAGACUCCUACGGGAGGCAGCAGUAGGGAAUUUUCCACAAUGGACGAAAGUCUGAUGGAGCAACGCCGCGUGCAGGAUGAAUGCCUUCGGGUUGUAAACUGCUUUUAUAUGUGGCGAAUAUGACGGUAGCAUAUGAAUAAGGAUCGGCUAACUCCGUGCCAGCAGCCGCGGUCAUACGGAGGAUCCAAGCGUUAUCCGGAAUUACUGGGCGUAAAGAGUUGCGUAGGCGGCAUAGUAAGCAGAUAGUGAAAGCGUGUGGCUCAACCAUACUCACAUUAUCUGAACUGCUAAGCUAGAGGAUGAGAGAGGUCACUGGAAUUCCUGGUGUAGGAGUGAAAUCCGUAGAUAUUAGGAGGAACACCAAUGGCGUAGGCAGGUGACUGGCUCAUUCCUGACGCUCAGGCACGAAAGCGUGGGUAGCAAACG
This 711-nucleotide ribosomal RNA is filed under the name candidate division TM7 bacterium enrichment culture clone B11-B-31. RNAcentral describes it as "bacterial SSU rRNA". It matches the Rfam family "Bacterial small subunit ribosomal RNA", at positions 28 to 774 of the family's 1533-position model. Lineage: Bacteria; Candidatus Saccharimonadota. The record is from RNAcentral.